This 73-nucleotide transfer RNA is filed under the name Acanthamoeba castellanii str. Neff. It matches the Rfam family "tRNA". From Rfam's summary of the family: Transfer RNA (tRNA) molecules are approximately 80 nucleotides in length. Their secondary structure includes four short double-helical elements and three loops (D, anti-codon, and T loops). Lineage: Eukaryota; Discosea; Longamoebia; Acanthamoebidae. The record is from Rfam by way of RNAcentral.
GGGGUGGUAGUGUAGUUGGUCAUCACACUCUCCUACAAACCGAGAAACCCGAGUUCGAAUCUUGGCCACCCCC